GGGAUCUCGGUGGCUGAGGGCUGUGCUCAUGAAGGACUCCUUGAGUUUGGAAGAUGAGGCUCACCUUCUGCACAGCCAAUAGGUCAUUGUCAUGGGAACACUGACCACCAGCACCAACCUCCAUCCCCCGCCGGGGGCACGUGCCUUUAUCACCCAUUUCCUAGGUUUUGUUGUGGUUCCCAGGCGGUGCCUUCGAGACUGGCUCAGCCUCCAUCUUCGAUGGGUCCUCCCUGGCUGCCUAUGAGGACAUGCUGGUUGUGAUCGUCCAGUACCGGCUGGGAAUAUUUGGCUUCUUCACCACAUGGGAUCAGCACGCUCCCGGGAACUGGGCCUUCAAGGACCAGGUGGCUGCUCUAUCCUGGGUCCAGAAGAACAUCGAGUUCUUCGGUGGGGACCCCAGCUCUGUGACCAUCUUUGAUUCUGUCUCCCAUGGCCGAAGGCUUAUUCCACAAAGCCGUCAUGGAGAGUGGGGUGGCCAUCAUCCUUUACCUGAAGGCCCAUGAUUAUGAGAAGAGUGAGGACAAAACAAAGGCUUUCACUCAAGUGGUUGAUGGUGCUUUCUUUCCUAAUGAGCCUCUAGAUCUAUUGUCUCAGAAAGCAUUUAAAGCAAUUCCUUCCAUCAUCGGAGUCAAUAACCCCGAGUGUGGCUUCCCGCUGCCUAUGAAGGAGGCUCCUGAGAUUCUCAGUGGCUCCAACAAGUCCCUUGCCCUCUGUCUGACACAAAACAUCCUGCACAUCCUGCCCAAUUAUUUGCACCUUGUGGCUGGUGAAUACUUCCAUGACAAGCACUCCCUGACUGAAAUCCGAGACAGUCUUCUGGACUUGCUUGGAGAUGUGUUCUUUGUGAUCCCUAAGCUGAUCACAGCUCAGUAUCAUAGAG
This is an RNA transcript of Homo sapiens (human), 880 nucleotides long. It is a transcript of the gene named carboxylesterase 5A pseudogene 1, with no coding region annotated. Lineage: Eukaryota; Metazoa; Chordata; Mammalia; Primates; Hominidae. The record is from RefSeq and is marked provisional. The transcript is spliced from 7 exons.